GAGAUGGGAAAUCGCCGGGUUUGCUCUAAUUAAAAACAAGACUUUCAGGAAAC
RNAcentral lists this small RNA (53 nucleotides) under Caenorhabditis elegans. RNAcentral's name for it is "Unclassified non-coding RNA T01C1.12". Lineage: Eukaryota; Metazoa; Nematoda; Chromadorea; Rhabditida; Rhabditidae. The record is from RNAcentral.